GGCCCUUUAGUCUAGGGGUUAGGACGUUGGAUUUUGAUUCCAAAGACGCCAGUUCGAUUCUGGCAUGGGCCU
RNAcentral lists this transfer RNA (72 nucleotides) under Ophiocordyceps sinensis CO18. RNAcentral describes it as "tRNA-Gln (TTG) (tRNA-Gln-TTG-1-1)". It matches the Rfam family "tRNA". From Rfam's summary of the family: Transfer RNA (tRNA) molecules are approximately 80 nucleotides in length. Their secondary structure includes four short double-helical elements and three loops (D, anti-codon, and T loops). Lineage: Eukaryota; Fungi; Ascomycota; Sordariomycetes; Hypocreales; Ophiocordycipitaceae. The record is from RNAcentral.